Molecule: ribosomal RNA, 253 nt
Filed under: uncultured bacterium
Lineage: Bacteria
Description: partial 16S ribosomal RNA
Rfam family: Bacterial small subunit ribosomal RNA
Source: RNAcentral
UACGUAGGGUGCGAGCGUUAAUUGGAAUUACUGGGCGUAAAGCGUGCGCAGGCGGUUUGUUAAGUCUGAUGUGAAAGCCCCGGGCUCAACCUGGGAACUGCAUUGGAAACUGGCAAGCUCGAGUAUGGCAGAGGGGGGUGGAAUUCCGCGUGUAGCAGUGAAAUGCGUAGAGAUGCGGAGGAACACCGAUGGCGAAGGCAGCCCCCUGGGCCAAUACUGACGCUCAGGCACGAAAGCGUGGGGAGCAAACAGG